UAGCUCAAUUGGUUAGAGCGUUGUGCUCAUAACGCGGAAGUCACAAGUUCGAUUGCAAUCCGUAUUGGGCCUACCA
This 76-nucleotide transfer RNA is filed under the name Glycine max (soybean). RNAcentral's name for it is "tRNA-Met". The record is from RNAcentral. Lineage: Eukaryota; Viridiplantae; Streptophyta; Magnoliopsida; Fabales; Fabaceae. RNAcentral also lists the same sequence under 1 other name.